CUUGGCCGAGUGGUUAGGCAACGGUCUGCAAAACCGGUGACGGCGGUUCAAAUCCGCC
This 58-nucleotide transfer RNA is filed under the name uncultured Dysgonomonas sp. It matches the Rfam family "tRNA", at positions 8 to 63 of the family's 71-position model. From Rfam's summary of the family: Transfer RNA (tRNA) molecules are approximately 80 nucleotides in length. Lineage: Bacteria; Pseudomonadati; Bacteroidota; Bacteroidia; Bacteroidales; Dysgonomonadaceae. The record is from RNAcentral.